AAUGGAAAAGGAGGGUAGAAGAGGUGAGGAAGAAGGUAGAGGUGCUGGUAUCCUCAUCCAACAAAAUGGGGAGUUGAGAGAUACCAUCUAUAAUGCAUUGGUCUCCCCGAAACUCUAAGUUAAGGAGCUCAGGUAUGUAAUUCUUCCUGUGGAAGGAUGUGGCUGUGCUCCUGCAUGUGAAAAGACUAGAUGAUGCUGGCUGCCCAUUUGUUUUGGUUGUCUCAACCGGGAUUGUGGAUUGCUACAAAACCAAUUGGUCUGCAGCCUCUGGGUCGAUAUGAGCGAUGGCCGAAACGAACAAAGUGGCCAUGCUGUAUUGCUGCUCUCUCGCCCCGUUCAGAAGUGGCUGGGAAGUAGAUGAUGGCCAGGGCAGGAGGACAGUCUGAAGGUUGUAAACUGCCAGGAAUAUCUGCCUCCCCAAAUUCAGGGUGGCUUUUGUGCCCGUUUGUUCUCACUGGAGAAAGACUGAAGGACUGCAUGCAGCAAAGAAAACCAAUUGUUAUUUCAAAGCCUGAUGAUGGAAACCCCCCUAAGAAGGGCCUUUUGUUGCUCCUGAUUGCCCAUUUAGAUAUGAGAAAUGAGGCUCCAGGGCAGAAUGCUGAAGAAGGAAGCAGAGCAAAGGGCUACGUUCCUUUACAAAGAGAAGAGAAAGUCACCCAGGGGAGAUCCUGGCAGAGGCUGGGGAAGGAAGAGAGAGCAAAGGCCAGCAAGGUGUCGCGGCAGCAGAAAUGGCCGAGGAAUGUCCAAUAUCCAGUUACGAGUUGUUGUCUGUGCUGUAACUCCUCCUGUUCUCCCUCCUAAACCUUCUGUAAAAUCUGCUACAAACGCAGCCUUAUGGCAAUAGUCCUCUGGGAGGGCACAACGGGGUGAUCUGUGAUAUGAGGUGACGGGAUACAGAACGGAAGCUCCACACACAGCAGUGGAAAGACAGACCUGAGGCUGAGGAAGGAGGCGAUAGAGCUGGAGGGGCAUCAGCCCUCUGGGGAUUCCCAGAGAUGUCUGAAGGGACUCUGGGUUUCUCACUCUACGUAGGCUGACGGCUCAGGUCACUUUCGUUCAAUAUUACAAAAAAGGGUAACCCCAUAACUCUGGAAGAAUGAGAAAACCCAGGCUACUGACAAGUAUUAUUGAGGUUAAUUUAUACAAAUUUUCUAAGAAAAGAACAAUGAGAUGUCCUUGGACCAAAGUAAUACAGAUUUCUCCUUUGCGUAGGUCUACAAGAAAACACAGCGGGCUCAGAGUGCCAUGGUCUUUGGUAACUGUAGGGGAGGGGAAAGUUUUCUCAAUCCUCUUAGAAUCUCUGGGUGAGUCUAUAAAUUAAACUGACAAAGAUGGAUUGAUGGGAGAAAAGCAUACACAAUUUGUUGAAUUUUUACCUAUACACGGAAGCCUUCACAAGAGAAUGAAGACCUGAAGAAAUGACCAAAGCAGGAAGCUUUUAUACUUUUUAGACAAAGAAACAAUAAAUUUGUGAAGAAUUGACAAGACAAAUGGGUCUAGGCCAAAAGUAGUCAAUGGUGAAGAAGUAACUAGGAAGAUAAAGGUUCUCAGGAAUCAUCUGCUACUUCUGGAACACCCUGAUGGGAAGAAAGCCCUAUGGAUCUGCCUAAGACCCAUGACCACCUGUGAGUCACUCUUUGGUGCAUGCAAAACAUCCCACCACUCCUGAAUCAUGCUAAGGCACAGGGAGCGCAGGCCUACCUCUCAGAGUAGACACAGCUGGAAAUGAGGCUGCAGACCUGCCCGGACAUCAGUUCCCUCAACCCAUCUGGAGGUUUUAUUUCCCCACCCCAGUGGGGGAAGAGGCAAGGCCCUGAGUCUCCUAUCUCAGGGACUCCCAACUUCUAAGACUCCUCUCUUCCCUUCCAAUGGUGCAACUCUGUGCACCAGCUGCUCUCCAGGGUGCCUCUCAGGAAGCCAUGCUCGUACAUUAUCAGCUACUCUCCAGACCUGCAGGCCUAAACUGAGACUCAAAGAGCCUGUUUUUGCACUGUUAGGCACCUCUUCCCUGAGACAAAGGCCCAAGUGACAGUGUCACUGUUUUGACUAUCGGUACGCAUCACUGGGAGUUAACUGAGAGUCAUCUGUCAGGGUGCCUCUCAGAACACUUCAGUUCAAGAUCACAAAAGUCGGGGCUCGCAGGACACCACAAGCCAAUGAGGAAUGUGUGGAAAGUAUUUGCAAUUCAUCCUCUUUUACUGAGAACGAGGAUGAAUUCUUUUUUAAUUGAACCAGAAAGAAUCUGAAUCCUAAAGUAUUUCCUUUCUUAAGGCUUCUUUGCGUAUUCAAGUGUCUUCUGUCUUAAUAACUUUUAUUCAAAUCAGAGAUUCUGAACAUAAGGUUCUUGAACUCUUUGAAAUUACAUGCAGAAUUUUCUUGGUGCCUUUUUCUGAGGUGAGCAUCCAUGGAUUGUUUUUUUUUCUUUAAUCAGAUUCUCCACAAAGAAUUUGUGACCCAGAUAAGAUUAAGAACGGUUGCUUUAAGCCAAGGUCACAAAUCUAUUUCCCCAUAACUUUCGUGCAUCCUCUUGACCACAUUUUGAAGUUCAGAAAAUACAGAUGUGUUCAAAUGAAAAGGGAGAUUCUGUGAACUGAAUUAAAGUCUUAGAAACCCAAAUUUUAUGCCUAAUGUCCCUUCCCACAGGUUCAACCCACAAUGGCACCUUACAGUUUUGAGGGAAAGCUAAUGUGACAACUGACAUCUCUUGGUCACAAGGGCUAGACACAUGGUUCUCUUCACUCUUCAAGGUGCAUGCUUUUUGAGGCUGGGCAUCUCAUCUUCAGUCACAGCACGUGAGCGGCUGUGCUCCCCUGCUUGGGCAUCCAUCAACUUACCUCAACAUAGACCUCUGCAGAGUAGGAAGUGUAUUGUAUUGGUUGACUGUGACCACAACUCCAAGGCAGAUAUUCUUGGCUCCAUUUUAUAGAUGCAGAAGGGAAGCGUAGAGAAGAUGAUCUCUGGUCUACGGUCCUGCUGGAGCUUGUGCACAGCAGGGUGAUGACCACAAUUCUUUCAAAAAUUGUUUUUAAUUAAAAAGUAGUUACAAGACACUCAUUUUGUUUUUAUGCUCUGUUAAGGAUUGAAUUGUCUCUCCCCCCCAAAAUUCGCAUGUUGAAGUGCUCUCAUCCCCCUCCAAGGUGCCUCAGAAUGUAACCUUAUUGGAAAUAGGGUCCUUACAGAUGUAGCUAGUUAAGAUGAGAUCAUACUGGAGUAGGGAGGGUCCCUCAUCCAAUAUGACUGGUGUCCUUCUAAGAAGGGGAUACUUGGACACAGACACACCCAUGGGGUGAAUGCCACGUAAAGAUGAAGGUAGAGAUCAGAGUGAUCCUUCUACGAGCCAAGGACGGUCAAAACUGCCAGAAGCUAGGUGAAAGGCAGGGAACAGAUUCUCUUUCAAAGCCUUCAGCAGGAACCAGCUGUGCCAACACCUUGCCUCCAGAACUGUGAGCCAAUAAGUUUCUGUUGUUUAAGCCACACAGUUUGUGGUACUUUGUUACAGCAGCCCUAGCAAACUAAUAUAUAUUCUGCAAUUUUAAAAAUUAAAGAAAAACAUGAACUUUUGGUUGGUAUAAGAUACUAAAACAACACAGAAAUAUGUAGAAUGAAGUGUGAAAUGCCCCCUUCACCAUGCCAAUACAUCCCUCUCCCAGUGUAACAUGGGUAUAUGGGGUGGUUAUCCCUCUAGAAUUUUUUCUGGGCCUUUACAUACAUAUUUGUAGAGACUCCUAUAUGGGGUUUUUUUUUUUUUUUUUGGCUGAAGAAGAUUUGCCCUGAGCUAACAUCCCUUGCCAAUCUUCCUCUAUUUGUAUGUGGGUCACUGCCACAGCACGGCUGCUGACAAGUAGUCUGUGCCCAGGAACUAAACCCAGGCGACCAAAGC
Long non-coding RNA from Equus caballus (horse), 3880 nucleotides. The record is from Ensembl. NCBI's taxonomy places the organism in Eukaryota, Metazoa, Chordata, Mammalia, Perissodactyla, Equidae.